Long non-coding RNA from Manihot esculenta (cassava), 524 nucleotides. RefSeq lists it as uncharacterized. The record is from RefSeq and is a predicted model, not a curated record. The transcript has 2 exons. Lineage: Eukaryota; Viridiplantae; Streptophyta; Magnoliopsida; Malpighiales; Euphorbiaceae.
CCCCCCCCCCCCCCCUUCCUCUCUCUCUCCCUCUCUCCAUAGGCCAUCUCAUCCAAAGAGUCAAAAGAGGAAGAGGCAUAUUUCAGGUUUGUGCGUGAAUCUAAUAUAGACAUUUUUCUUUCCACAAAAGAUCGUAAAAUUCUCUCUAGGAUCUUGUUAGAUUCACGCACAAACUCGUAAUCUGCCUUUUCGAUUAUCCUCGUCUCUCUUCUUCCUUGAAACGGGUUUUAAGUCGCAGUGAAUUGGAUCAAUGACGGAUGCAAUCUUGGGUUAGAAGGAAAUCAAAGGUGUAAAUAUGAUCGUGAAGGGACCUUCCUGAAGAAUCCGAAUUACAUGUAGAAUUUCCAUAUACGUAUUUGUAUUUCACAUGUUUUAGACUAUACGGAUGAUGUAAAUGCCUGUGUUGGAUAAUGCCAAAGCUGGAAGAAGAAUAUGUAGAAAGUCUGUCAAUUUAGUUAGUUAUCCUUAUUGUAAUAAUACUUUUUCUUUAAAAUACGUAUAAUGCAGCGAAAAAAAUCCACAUA